UGCCGGACCUGACUGCUAUCGGAUUGAUACUAAGCCAUGCGAGUCAUUGUAGCAAUACAAGGCAUACGGCUCAGUAACGCGUAGUCAACCUAACCUAUGGACGGGAAUAACCUCGGGAAACUGAGAAUAAUGCCCGAUAGAACAUUAUACCUGGAAUGGUUUAUGUUCCAAAUGAUUUAUCGCCGUAGGAUGGGACUGCGGCCUAUCAGUUUGUUGGCGAGGUAAUGGCCCACCAAGACUAUUACAGGUACGGGCUCUGGGAGGAGUAGCCCGGAGAUGGGUACUGAGACACGGACCCAGGCCCUAUGGGGCGCAGCAGGCGAGAAAACUUUGCAAUGUGCGAAAGCACGACAAGGUUAAUCCGAGUGAUUUCUGCUAAAGAAAUCUUUUGUUAGUCCUAGAAACACUAACGAAUAAGGGGUGGGCAAGUUCUGGUGUCAGCCGCCGCGGUAAAACCAGCACCUCAAGUGGUCAGGAUGAUUAUUGGGCCUAAAGCAUCCGUAGCCGGCUCUGUAAGUUUUCGGUUAGAUCUGUACGCUUAACGUACAGGCCGCCGGGAAUACUGCAAAGCUAGGGAGUGGGAGAAGUAGACGGUACUCGGUAGGAAGUGGUAAAAUGCUUUGAUCUAUCGAUGACCACCUGUGGCGAAGGCGGUCUACUAGAACACGUCCGACGGUGAGGGAUGAAAGCUGGGGGAGCAAACCGGAUUAGAUACCCGGGUAGUCCCAGCUGUAAACUAUGCAAACUCAGUGAUGCAUUGGCUUGUGGCCAAUGCAGUGCUGCAGGGAAGCCGUUAAGUUUGCCGCCUGGGAAGUACGUACGCAAGUAUGAAACUUAAAGGAAUUGGCGGGGGAGCACCACAAGGGGUGAAGCCUGCGGUUCAAUUGGAUUCAACGCCGGA
RNAcentral lists this ribosomal RNA (901 nucleotides) under uncultured archaeon. Its description in RNAcentral is "bacterial SSU rRNA". It matches the Rfam family "Archaeal small subunit ribosomal RNA", at positions 15 to 922 of the family's 1478-position model. The record is from RNAcentral.